GUCUAUGGCUAUACCGCCCUGAAUGCGCCCAAUCUCGUCUGAUCUUGGAAGCUAAGCAGGGUCGGGUCUGGUUAGUACUUGGAUGGGAGAAAUGGGAAAAUAGUAUACAUAGACA
RNAcentral lists this ribosomal RNA (115 nucleotides) under Mustela putorius furo (domestic ferret). Lineage: Eukaryota; Metazoa; Chordata; Mammalia; Carnivora; Mustelidae. The record is from RNAcentral.